GUACCGCAUACAACCUCCAAGGUCAUGUGGCCAGCAUGACUGCAUGGAUCACUGUUACCUUCCCGCCAGAGUGCACCUUGAAAAUGCUACACAGAAGUUUAGAAGACCCUGAUGGAGUGAACUGCAAUAUUUCCUUGUGAAUUUACUAAUCCAAUCAUAGAUGGUAUAUUUUGGAUCUAAGCCAUUAAUGCUCAUGGCAAGAUAUCUAAAACAGCUUCAGGUUCUAAAGCAAAGGAGAAAACUUCAGCCAAUAAGAUGGGGAUCUUGCUUAACAAAGCAUCCAGAUAAUACAUUCUUAACUGGUUCUAAAAAAUAAAUAAAAUAAAAAAUGGUUCUAAAAAGA
Anolis carolinensis (green anole) is the source of this 343-nucleotide long non-coding RNA. RefSeq lists it as uncharacterized. The transcript has 2 exons. The record is from RefSeq and is a predicted model, not a curated record. Lineage: Eukaryota; Metazoa; Chordata; Lepidosauria; Squamata; Anolidae.